Long non-coding RNA from Solea senegalensis (Senegalese sole), 312 nucleotides. RefSeq lists it as uncharacterized. The transcript has 3 exons. The record is from RefSeq and is a predicted model, not a curated record. NCBI's taxonomy places the organism in Eukaryota, Metazoa, Chordata, Actinopteri, Pleuronectiformes, Soleidae.
CACGAUGACGUCGGUCUCGCCCCGUGAACACGUCGAACCCCCGUUAACUCGCUGCACCAAACCACGUGUAGCCCUCAGACUGAAUGGAGUGUGGGGGACAAGACUGGACUGGCUACACUGUAAAGUCUCUGUCAUCCACCAUGUGGUCACAUGACUGUUCAACAGACCCCCCUCUUCAGCCUUAUUUGAAAAGGGAGAGAGGGUGGUGACGAGAGGAGAAGGGGGCCAAGCAUAGAUACCUGUGGUACCUCAGGGGUAACUAAAGGACCGCCGGAGCCAAAGUGACCAAUUCAGAGUGGCACAAUAUGAAGA